AGUGAAGAAGGCCUUCGGGUUGUAAAGCUCUUUAGCAGAUGAAGAUGAUGACGGUAAUCUGAGAAUAAGUCCCGGCAAACUUCGUGC
RNAcentral lists this ribosomal RNA (87 nucleotides) under uncultured bacterium. RNAcentral's name for it is "partial 16S ribosomal RNA". It matches the Rfam family "Bacterial small subunit ribosomal RNA", at positions 404 to 508 of the family's 1533-position model. The record is from RNAcentral.